RNAcentral lists this ribosomal RNA (253 nucleotides) under uncultured bacterium. RNAcentral's name for it is "partial 16S ribosomal RNA". It matches the Rfam family "Bacterial small subunit ribosomal RNA", at positions 524 to 776 of the family's 1533-position model. The record is from RNAcentral.
UACGUAGGUGGCAAGCGUUAUCCGGAUUUAUUGGGCGUAAAGGGAACGCAGGCGGUCUUUUAAGUCUGAUGUGAAAGCCUUCGGCUUAACCGGAGUAGUGCAUUGGAAACUGGGAGACUUGAGCGCAGAAGGGGAGAGUGGAAUUCCAUGUGUAGCGGUGGAAUGCGUAGAUAUAUGGAGGAACACCGGUGGCGAAAGCGGCUCUCUGGUCUGUAACUGACGCUGAGGCUCGAAAGCGUGGGUAGCGAACAGG